AGUGAACGCUGGCGGUAGGCCUAACACAUGCAAGUCGAACGGCAGCACAGUAAGAGCUUGCUCUUACGGGUGGCGAGUGGCGGACGGGUGAGGAAUACAUCGGAAUCUACUUUUUCGUGGGGGAUAACGUAGGGAAACUUACGCUAAUACCGCAUACGACCUACGGGUGAAAGCAGGGGAUCUUCGGACCUUGCGCGAUUGAAUGAGCCGAUGUCGGAUUAGCUAGUUUGCGGGGUAAAGGCCCACCAAGGCGACGAUCCGUAGCUGGUCUGAGAGGAUGAUCGGCCACACUGGAACUGAGACACGGUCCAGACUCCUACGGGAGGCAGCAGUGGGGAAUAUUGGACAAUGGGCGCAAGCCUGAUCCAGCCAUACCGCGUGGGUGAAGAAGGCCUUCGGGUUGUAAAGCCCUUUUGUUGGGAAAGAAAAGCAGCAGGUUAAUACCCCGCUGUUCUGACGGUACCCAAAGAAUAAGCACCGGCUAACUUCGUG
This 492-nucleotide ribosomal RNA is filed under the name uncultured bacterium. Its description in RNAcentral is "partial 16S ribosomal RNA". It matches the Rfam family "Bacterial small subunit ribosomal RNA", at positions 29 to 507 of the family's 1533-position model. The record is from RNAcentral.